CUGUUGUACUUGUUGAAACUGAAUGCAAGACACACUUGGAUAAUUAAAUACCAGAAGUGCUUAGCUGUGUUUUCAGCUCCUGUCAAACAAGGAAGAUGUAGCGUCGUGUACCAUUUCUGAAGCCUUAACUUCCCCUGCCGACUGAACAGCAGUAUAAAGUGUAUCUAGAGUAAACAAAGCAACAUGGUUAACACCAGGGCCAUGGCCAGAGAAGAACAGUCCUCUGCCCAUUGCCAGAAAUCUUGAGUCCCGGCCAUGCAUCUCCAGUCUUGGUGCGAUGUUUGGACACAAUGUCAGCAAGGUCCACGGGAAAGAUCCCUCCUCUCUCCUGUUUCUUCCCCAGGCAGCCCUCCCCUCCCUGUUGGACCUCUUCCCUAGGCCAAACCCUUUGCAUCCUCUCCUGCCCAUCCUUCCUUACCUUUUGCAAACAGUAGCUUUGUUUCCUUUUCUGUCUCUGCCCUGGGGAACAGGAGGAGCAUCACCACUUUGCAGUGGUGAGAAAAGGGCACCGCCCCCUCCUCCAGCAAGAUCAGAUACCUCAGUGAAGGGAAUAAAGACUUAUCCACAACAGGGCUAGGGAAAUCAGUGUGGCAGAAGACUAGAAAUAUGAAUACUGAGACAGUAAUCGUAAUCACUAACGAAGCAGCAGGUUCCUAGAAGAGGCAAUAAGGGGCAGAAGAACUUCGGAAAGGAGGCUUGACUAGUUUUACUAAAGAAAUCAGCAGACUAUGAAACACAGACAAUUGUGAUGAUGGACAGACCUCAUUGAGUAGGGAUAUAUUAUAUUAAAUAAAGUAUAAUAUCUACGCUGUUCUAAAA
Molecule: long non-coding RNA, 819 nt
Organism: Pseudopipra pipra
Lineage: Eukaryota; Metazoa; Chordata; Aves; Passeriformes; Pipridae
Exons: 2
Source: RefSeq, a predicted model, not a curated record